AUGGUUCAGUGGUCAGAGAUCUGCAAACCUCGCGACCAGGGCGGACUUGGGAUCAUGUCCUCCAAACGCAUGAACAUUGCCCUUCUGACUCGGGGGCUUUGGCGGAUUGCCAACAAAGAUGGUGGCCUGUGGCUUCACAUCAUC
RNAcentral lists this ribosomal RNA (144 nucleotides) under Triticum aestivum (bread wheat). Its description in RNAcentral is "partial small subunit ribosomal RNA". The record is from RNAcentral. Lineage: Eukaryota; Viridiplantae; Streptophyta; Magnoliopsida; Poales; Poaceae.